Long non-coding RNA from Anolis carolinensis (green anole), 1359 nucleotides. RefSeq lists it as uncharacterized. The transcript is spliced from 2 exons. The record is from RefSeq and is a predicted model, not a curated record. NCBI's taxonomy places the organism in Eukaryota, Metazoa, Chordata, Lepidosauria, Squamata, Anolidae.
AUUGUAAUGAGCCAUGGCAAGUGGAACCAAACUACAUUAAUUCUACAAUGUAGCUGCACUUUCAGAGUCUUUGAUUUAAGAUCCAUUUAAAAGAGCCCUACCUGGCCUAGAUCAGUGAGUGAAAUUUAGGGGAAACCCUGCCUGCCAAACAGGUUCCACUACUACAAGCUUUCCUGUUUGCACAGCUGAGGUUUCUGUGUGUGUUUUGCAGUCGGAAUGGCUCGAACUCCUUUCACUGAGGAGACGGCGAGCUACACCUCCCUCUUCAGAGCAAUUGGAUCAUGUGGUUUGGAAAUGUAUGUUUUAAAAACAAAACCCCAGCUCCUACAAUGGGAAUAAUUAGGUAAAUUGGCAUGGCAGUGUUUUCCUUGCCCGCCUCUUCUCCCCUUAUUCUCUGGAGAGUUUUUGUUUGUUCGCCUGAGCCAAAGCAGGAGACGCAGCCAAGGGAUGCUGAGUCAACUCUGCGCUGGAUGCCGGCUUUGCGUUUUUUUUUUUCUUCUCUUUCUUUCUUUCCUGGGCAGCUGGGGACAGGCUGAGCUCCCAACAAUCAGAAAGCUGACUCAUAGGCUUGCUUUCCCCAGUUUUCAAGCACACUACGCAGCCUCACUAAACCCUGAUUUCUUAUACUGUCAGUUCUUGGUUCUGGCUGCCUCAAGGGCCCCAUUUAAGUCAAAAGGUGAGCCAAAAACCCUAGAGGGUGUUAGAUCCACCCCUUCUGCUUCCUUGUGACCUUCAAGGGAAAGGCUGUGCACACAAGGAAGAACUGUAGCAUUCUCUGCUGCAUGCAGGUGUCGAGGUGGACAGCCAAAUUUGGGCAGCUUUGAAAAAGGAUGGGGCAAAUCCAUAGAGGAUAGGUCAAUCAGAGCUUUGACCUUCCGUCGUCUUCUUGACGGACGCCAUCUGCUACUCUGGAUCUACGGACUGAACUGACUACGGGCUUGGAUUCUCCUUCUGGACUUGGAAAACUGCAAACGUCUGCUUCUGUCUAUCGACCUUCGGAAAGAACUGGGACUACUCUACUGCUUCAAUCCUCGGCUGUUGUGUUUGUAUUGGAAGUUUGCCUGCUGUGUGUAGGAGUGACUUCUAAGUUACUCAAAACAUAGUACUGGCAGCAGAGAGGCAUCUGCUGCCAAUUAGUUACAUUCUUUUGAACUCUUUGUUUCCCAGCUUCUGUUUUGUUUGUUCCCAAGCUGAAGCAAGCUGUUUUGAUUUUACCCGGAUUAAACUCCGGUUUAAUCCGGUUUAUCUUUUGAACGUUUUUCUUGCCCCUUUUUUGCUUUUUGAGGCUAAUGUUGCCUGGCCCUUGUCUUUUACGGGCAUUUUGAGUUCUGUAAAUCCAAUAAACUCUGUUAUCUUUGA